This 575-nucleotide ribosomal RNA is filed under the name Cephalidiosus thy. RNAcentral's name for it is "eukaryotic LSU rRNA". It matches the Rfam family "Eukaryotic large subunit ribosomal RNA", at positions 670 to 1139 of the family's 3401-position model. Lineage: Eukaryota; Metazoa; Arthropoda; Insecta; Hemiptera; Tingidae. The record is from RNAcentral.
GGAGUUUAGCGUGCUCGCGAGUCAUUGGGUGUUGCGAAACCUAAAGGCGAAAUGAAAGUAAAGAGAGUCUCUGCAACGACUCUCGAGGGAGGAUGAGCUACUGCUCUCUGGCUUUUUGUCUAACCGACGGCCGAGCGUGUCUCCGCACUCCCGGGGCGAUUCUUUCUCAUUGCGAGUGGAGGCGCACCAAGAGCGAGCACGCUGAAACCCGAAAGAUGGUGAACUAUGCCUGGCCAGGACGAAGCCAGGGGAAACCCUGGUGGAGGUCCGCAGCGAUUCUGACGUGCAAAUCGAUCGUCGGAGCUGGGUAUAGGGGCGAAAGACCAAUCGAACCAUCUAGUAGCUGGUUCCCUCUGAAGUUUCCCUCAGGAUAGCUUGCGCUCGGGAGAGAAGAGUCUCAUCCGGUAGAGCGAAUGAUUAGAGGCCUUGGGGUCGAAACGACCUCAACCUAUUCUCAAACUCCAAAUAGAUGAGAAACCCGGCUUGCUUGAAUUUUUAUUUUUUUUCGGUUUUUUUUUAAACCGCAUUUGAAGCCGCGGGUAACUCGGAUCAGAGUGCCAAGUGGGCCAAUUUUG